RNAcentral lists this ribosomal RNA (525 nucleotides) under Pelochrus pallidulus. RNAcentral's name for it is "partial 16S ribosomal RNA". The stretch from base 389 to 525 matches the Rfam family "Bacterial large subunit ribosomal RNA", at positions 2473 to 2610 of the family's 2925-position model. The record is from RNAcentral. Lineage: Eukaryota; Metazoa; Arthropoda; Insecta; Coleoptera; Melyridae.
CAUGUCCUUUUGAUUAUAAUUUAAGGUCUAAUCUGCCCACUGAAAUUUAAAUGGCCGCAGUAAUUUGACUGUGCUAAGGUAGCAUAAUCAUUAGUUUUUUAAUUGAAAGCUGGAAUGAAUGAUUGGAUGAAAUAAAAACUGUCUCAAAUUUAUUAAAAUAGAAUUUUAUAUUUAAGUUAAAAAGCUUAAAUAAUAUUAAAAGACGAGAAGACCCUAUAGAGUUUUAUAUAAUAUUAAUAAAUUUAAAUUAUUAUUUAUAAAAUUUUAUUUAUUAAUUUAUAUUUAGUUGGGGUGACAGAAAAAUUUAAUAAACUUUUUUUUAAAAUUUUACAUUUAUAUAUGAAUAAAUGAUCCAUAAAUUAUGAUUAUAAGAUUAAAUUACCUUAGGGAUAACAGCGUAAUUUUUUUUGAGAGUUCAAAUCGAAAAAAAAGAUUGCGACCUCGAUGUUGGAUUAAAGUUUAGUUUUGGUGUAGAAGCUAAAAUAUUAAGUCUGUUCGACUUUUAAAACUUUACAUGAUCUGAGU